Molecule: RNA transcript, 2295 nt
Organism: Nymphaea colorata (pocket water lily)
Lineage: Eukaryota; Viridiplantae; Streptophyta; Magnoliopsida; Nymphaeales; Nymphaeaceae
Exons: 2
Source: RefSeq, a predicted model, not a curated record
GCCCUGUUUCGGGUUGUUUGGAUGACACCGGAUUCCGCCCAAAACAUGGUUUUGAAAAACCUGGACCCGCCAGAUUUUUCCCAACCGAAGCGUCGGGGUUGUUCGUUCUUGAUGACAGAGAUCUCUCUCCCUUGUCGUUCUUCCUCUCGGAGCUGUAGCCUGGUUUGCUGCUGCAAUCUCAUUUAGUCAUGCUCAUGAUCGUUGACCAUGUUCACUGCACUUCAUUUGCUGUGUUGGAAUCCCAUAAUUUGUGCACCUAUCUGCAAUUCAUUUUGGCAAAUUCAGCUAUUCCAGAAAUCAGUCAUUUCAAGGUUCUGAUUUUUUAUUGGUGUCGUUUGCCUGGCACUAAUUUAACGUUGCUUUAUUUCAUAGGUUCUUCUUAUAAUUAUUAACUGGCUUAUUACUUGUCUUUUAGUGUUUUGACUUUUAUUCUAGAGAAUUGGCAUUAUUGUAUAUAGGAAGCUGCUUUGUGACUUCGUAGUUUCAUAAUUAAGUUGUAGCUACUUGUCAUUUUUUGCUUUUGACUAUUUUAUUUAGUUUGGCUGAAGAAGCUUUUCACAAGCGUUUCUAUCAUAUUAUCACCUAUUGAAAAGAAAUUAAAAUGGUGCUUCUUCAAUUCUUUGUUUACAUUGCUAUGCUAGCCAGUAUGGAGCUUGUCCAGAUCUUAAAGUGUUCUAUCCUUACUCACCAGAGAUGCUCGAGGACAGCUGUUGGAGACCCAGACCUUUUCGUAUUUCUUGAAAAUGAAUUAUUGUAUGUGUUGGGUUAAUGUAUUGGCUCAUUAUUAGUGGGAAAAACAUCCCUCUCUUGCACGUUUUUGUUGAGUUCAUUACUAAUGCAGAUACGGUGAAAGCCUGGGCGUGUUUCUGAGGAGGUUCUUGACUCUAAUUUCUAUCUUCCAAUUGGAAAGGCUAAGGUGUUGAUUUUCUUUUCAACUCAUUGUGCAGAAAACAUGAAAUUAUCAUUGUAAGGAUAAAUCUUUCUAAUGACAGGUAAGUUCUUUGCUUUAUGUAUGAAUCAAUUUCAUGCCCGUGAUUAAAGUUUCUUCAAUACACACAAAUCCUUCACCACUAAGUUUCGUACAUACACAUGUCUAUGCUUAAAGCUGUUUGUUUGUUUGUUUUUUUUUCCAACAUAAACAUGAUCACUUCACGCUUCACAUAAUUUUGGGAUUGACAAAUGCCCAAGUUGGUGGAUGCACCUGCCAUAUAUUGUCAGCGUACGUUUGGUGUUACCGGAGCCCAACUGCAUGGCCUCCAAUAAUAUCUGGGUUUGGUACGAAAAAAUGAGAUUUAGUUAAUCGGGCGUUUCAGGAUGAAGUUACUUGAUCCGACUGAUAUGUUAGCCAACUAUGAUUGUGGAAAUGACGUUAUGACGCAGGUCCCACCGACGUUCUAAUAUUUAGUUAAGAUCCAAAAUAUCCACGUACGGUGAUUUAUAUUAGUAGUGUGUGAUUUAGGAAGACUAUUAGUAGUGUGUGAUUUAUAUUUUAAGUUCCCCAAGCAAAAAUGCAUGUUCAAUCAAAAUAUCUAACUGUGUUGCGUGCGAAAUCCAAGUUGUAUUCAAAUUUCUAUGUUAUCUUGAGCCAGAUUUUUACAUUACUUUCCACAAUCUUUUGCCAUGAUCAGAAUCAGAGUUUGAGUUUGGUCACCGUCUGCUUAGGUCAGAUUUAUAAAAAAGGCUUCACUUAGGGGUGGGAACGGAUUAAAUUAUCUGAGCAUUGAACCCAAAUCCGACCAGUUGAGUUUGCUAAAGAAAACCAGUAACGCGUUUCGGUAUGUGGCCUUGCACCUGACUCCAAACCCAAUAUUAAGAAUCAAAUCUGUAAUCGAAUUAGAAUUCAAAUGAAAAGUCACCAGAUACAAACAUCAGACUUUAAGCCAGUAAAAUGUCAGAUUGAAGGACCUUAAAAUUAUUUAUCUGAAAACUGGUUUUGCUAAAAAGCAAGUUGCCUCUUUCCACACAUUCAAAAUUGGAACAGAAAAAACGAAGACCCAUCAACCAUAAGAAAUAUUAGAAAGUAAUGAGAUCUGUGUAUCUGAGAAGCCAGACCAAUCAAAUGAAAAUCCUGUUUCUUUUUGUACGCCGGUGAAGAAAGAGACAACUGCAUGGGAAAAAGACUUGUAUCUUUCCAUACGACCCUUUUAUUUGGAGCAUUCCCUCAUUACAUGUUAAGAGGUCGUUGUCGUGAAAAGCUGUAACAAAUUACUCUGGUCACCAUAUUGAGCCCUUGAUUUUUUUUCUAGCUGUUACUUUCUUCCCGAGUUCGGUGAUGUGAUGCAUCUAGUGUUUAUU